CUUCCGUAGGGUGAACCUGCGGAAGGAUCAUUAUUGAAAACAAGGGUGUCCAAUUUAACUUGGAACCCAAACUUCUCAAUUCUAACUUUGUGCAUCUGUAUUAAUGGCGAGCAACUUCGGUUGUGAGCCUUCACUUACAAAACACUAGUCUAUGAAUGUAAAAUUUUUAUAACAAAUAAAAACUUUCAACAACGGAUCUCUUGGCUCUCGCAUCGAUGAAGAACGCAGCGAAAUGCGAUACGUAAUGUGAAUUGCAGAAUUCAGUGAAUCAUCGAAUCUUUGAACGCAUCUUGCGCUCUCUGGUAUUCCGGAGAGCAUGUCUGUUUGAGUGUCAUGAAUUCUUCAACCCAAUCUUUUCUUGUAAUUGAUUGGUGUUUGGAUUCUGAGCGUUGCUGGCGUUUGCCUAGCUCGUUCGUAAUACAUUAGCAUCCCUAAUACAAGUUUGGAUUGACUUGGCGUAAUAGACUAUUCGCUAAGGAUUCGGUGGAAACAUCGAGCCAACUUCAUUAAGGAAGCUCCUAAUUUAAAAGUCUACCUUUUGAUUAGAUCUCAAAUCAGGCAGGAUUACCCGCUGAACUUAAGCAUAUCAAUAAGCCGGAGGAA
Molecule: ribosomal RNA, 603 nt
Filed under: Sporobolomyces pararoseus
Lineage: Eukaryota; Fungi; Basidiomycota; Microbotryomycetes; Sporidiobolales; Sporidiobolaceae
Description: eukaryotic LSU rRNA
Rfam family: 5.8S ribosomal RNA (bases 181-334)
Source: RNAcentral